AAGGAGCUUUCUGGAAGCUGGCCGUCGCCCGAGUGUGGUGAUGGUUCGGUUCAGGCUGUCGGGUCCUUGCGGGUCCGGUGGUGCUUCUGAGUGGAAUGUUGGCUAUGGACGCUUCUGGUCUUCGGGUCGGGGGUGGGAUGCACUGUUGGGGUUCUGGGGUAUCACCUGCACAGGUGGUGGCCUGGUGUGGCGGACAUCGCUGCCGGCUGGCCUGGUUGUCGGGUUGGUGUGGUGGGUGUCUCGUGUGGUGGUUGAGAACUGUACAGUGGAUAUGAGCAUCUUUGUAGAUUUUUUGUAAUGUGUUGUGUU
Molecule: unclassified non-coding RNA, 309 nt
Filed under: Acidipropionibacterium acidipropionici
Lineage: Bacteria; Bacillati; Actinomycetota; Actinomycetes; Propionibacteriales; Propionibacteriaceae
Description: 16S-23S ribosomal RNA intergenic spacer
Source: RNAcentral